CUUAUGUCCACUGCAAAAAGAACGGUUGAAUACUCCUCUAAGUUGUCAAAAACUGCCAUACUUCUUGCUCUCCAUACAUGAGCUACUAUGGCUUCAAAGCUUGUGCAAGUGAUCUGGGCUUUUCCUUUUAGUGAUUUGAUCAUUUCAGGACUGAAAGAAAAGAGCUUGUGGAUGUAUUUAAAUUUGUUAGCGAAAACCAAUGGAGAAGGAGAUAAUUGGUCUGGUGCAGUGAAGAAAGAGGCUGGAGAUGAAAUCUCGCUUAGAUUUACAUAUUCUUUGUGUGGGUAUUUAAUUAUAGGAGGAUUUCUUGCUUUUAAAUAAG
RNAcentral lists this unclassified non-coding RNA (322 nucleotides) under Hevea brasiliensis (rubber tree). Lineage: Eukaryota; Viridiplantae; Streptophyta; Magnoliopsida; Malpighiales; Euphorbiaceae. The record is from RNAcentral.